RNAcentral lists this long non-coding RNA (7276 nucleotides) under Homo sapiens (human). The record is from RNAcentral. Lineage: Eukaryota; Metazoa; Chordata; Mammalia; Primates; Hominidae.
CUUUUUGCCUCCCUCACAAAGGCGGCGGAAGGUGAUCGAAUUCCGGUGAUGCGAGUUGUUCUCCGUCUAUAAAUACGCCUCGCCCGAGCUGUGCGGUAGGCAUUGAGGCAGCCAGCGCAGGGGCUUCUGCUGAGGGGGCAGGCGGAGCUUGAGGAAACCGCAGAUAAGUUUUUUUCUCUUUGAAAGAUAGAGAUUAAUACAACUACUUAAAAAAUAUAGUCAAUAGGUUACUAAGAUAUUGCUUAGCGUUAAGUUUUUAACGUAAUUUUAAUAGCUUAAGAUUUUAAGAGAAAAUAUGAAGACUUAGAAGAGUAGCAUGAGGAAGGAAAAGAUAAAAGGUUUCUAAAACAUGACGGAGGUUGAGAUGAAGCUUCUUCAUGGAGUAAAAAAUGUAUUUAAAAGAAAAUUGAGAGAAAGGACUACAGAGCCCCGAAUUAAUACCAAUAGAAGGGCAAUGCUUUUAGAUUAAAAUGAAGGUGACUUAAACAGCUUAAAGUUUAGUUUAAAAGUUGUAGGUGAUUAAAAUAAUUUGAAGGCGAUCUUUUAAAAAGAGAUUAAACCGAAGGUGAUUAAAAGACCUUGAAAUCCAUGACGCAGGGAGAAUUGCGUCAUUUAAAGCCUAGUUAACGCAUUUACUAAACGCAGACGAAAAUGGAAAGAUUAAUUGGGAGUGGUAGGAUGAAACAAUUUGGAGAAGAUAGAAGUUUGAAGUGGAAAACUGGAAGACAGAAGUACGGGAAGGCGAAGAAAAGAAUAGAGAAGAUAGGGAAAUUAGAAGAUAAAAACAUACUUUUAGAAGAAAAAAGAUAAAUUUAAACCUGAAAAGUAGGAAGCAGAAGAAAAAAGACAAGCUAGGAAACAAAAAGCUAAGGGCAAAAUGUACAAACUUAGAAGAAAAUUGGAAGAUAGAAACAAGAUAGAAAAUGAAAAUAUUGUCAAGAGUUUCAGAUAGAAAAUGAAAAACAAGCUAAGACAAGUAUUGGAGAAGUAUAGAAGAUAGAAAAAUAUAAAGCCAAAAAUUGGAUAAAAUAGCACUGAAAAAAUGAGGAAAUUAUUGGUAACCAAUUUAUUUUAAAAGCCCAUCAAUUUAAUUUCUGGUGGUGCAGAAGUUAGAAGGUAAAGCUUGAGAAGAUGAGGGUGUUUACGUAGACCAGAACCAAUUUAGAAGAAUACUUGAAGCUAGAAGGGGAAGUUGGUUAAAAAUCACAUCAAAAAGCUACUAAAAGGACUGGUGUAAUUUAAAAAAAACUAAGGCAGAAGGCUUUUGGAAGAGUUAGAAGAAUUUGGAAGGCCUUAAAUAUAGUAGCUUAGUUUGAAAAAUGUGAAGGACUUUCGUAACGGAAGUAAUUCAAGAUCAAGAGUAAUUACCAACUUAAUGUUUUUGCAUUGGACUUUGAGUUAAGAUUAUUUUUUAAAUCCUGAGGACUAGCAUUAAUUGACAGCUGACCCAGGUGCUACACAGAAGUGGAUUCAGUGAAUCUAGGAAGACAGCAGCAGACAGGAUUCCAGGAACCAGUGUUUGAUGAAGCUAGGACUGAGGAGCAAGCGAGCAAGCAGCAGUUCGUGGUGAAGAUAGGAAAAGAGUCCAGGAGCCAGUGCGAUUUGGUGAAGGAAGCUAGGAAGAAGGAAGGAGCGCUAACGAUUUGGUGGUGAAGCUAGGAAAAAGGAUUCCAGGAAGGAGCGAGUGCAAUUUGGUGAUGAAGGUAGCAGGCGGCUUGGCUUGGCAACCACACGGAGGAGGCGAGCAGGCGUUGUGCGUAGAGGAUCCUAGACCAGCAUGCCAGUGUGCCAAGGCCACAGGGAAAGCGAGUGGUUGGUAAAAAUCCGUGAGGUCGGCAAUAUGUUGUUUUUCUGGAACUUACUUAUGGUAACCUUUUAUUUAUUUUCUAAUAUAAUGGGGGAGUUUCGUACUGAGGUGUAAAGGGAUUUAUAUGGGGACGUAGGCCGAUUUCCGGGUGUUGUAGGUUUCUCUUUUUCAGGCUUAUACUCAUGAAUCUUGUCUGAAGCUUUUGAGGGCAGACUGCCAAGUCCUGGAGAAAUAGUAGAUGGCAAGUUUGUGGGUUUUUUUUUUUUACACGAAUUUGAGGAAAACCAAAUGAAUUUGAUAGCCAAAUUGAGACAAUUUCAGCAAAUCUGUAAGCAGUUUGUAUGUUUAGUUGGGGUAAUGAAGUAUUUCAGUUUUGUGAAUAGAUGACCUGUUUUUACUUCCUCACCCUGAAUUCGUUUUGUAAAUGUAGAGUUUGGAUGUGUAACUGAGGCGGGGGGGAGUUUUCAGUAUUUUUUUUUGUGGGGGUGGGGGCAAAAUAUGUUUUCAGUUCUUUUUCCCUUAGGUCUGUCUAGAAUCCUAAAGGCAAAUGACUCAAGGUGUAACAGAAAACAAGAAAAUCCAAUAUCAGGAUAAUCAGACCACCACAGGUUUACAGUUUAUAGAAACUAGAGCAGUUCUCACGUUGAGGUCUGUGGAAGAGAUGUCCAUUGGAGAAAUGGCUGGUAGUUACUCUUUUUUCCCCCCACCCCCUUAAUCAGACUUUAAAAGUGCUUAACCCCUUAAACUUGUUAUUUUUUACUUGAAGCAUUUUGGGAUGGUCUUAACAGGGAAGAGAGAGGGUGGGGGAGAAAAUGUUUUUUUCUAAGAUUUUCCACAGAUGCUAUAGUACUAUUGACAAACUGGGUUAGAGAAGGAGUGUACCGCUGUGCUGUUGGCACGAACACCUUCAGGGACUGGAGCUGCUUUUAUCCUUGGAAGAGUAUUCCCAGUUGAAGCUGAAAAGUACAGCACAGUGCAGCUUUGGUUCAUAUUCAGUCAUCUCAGGAGAACUUCAGAAGAGCUUGAGUAGGCCAAAUGUUGAAGUUAAGUUUUCCAAUAAUGUGACUUCUUAAAAGUUUUAUUAAAGGGGAGGGGCAAAUAUUGGCAAUUAGUUGGCAGUGGCCUGUUACGGUUGGGAUUGGUGGGGUGGGUUUAGGUAAUUGUUUAGUUUAUGAUUGCAGAUAAACUCAUGCCAGAGAACUUAAAGUCUUAGAAUGGAAAAAGUAAAGAAAUAUCAACUUCCAAGUUGGCAAGUAACUCCCAAUGAUUUAGUUUUUUUCCCCCCAGUUUGAAUUGGGAAGCUGGGGGAAGUUAAAUAUGAGCCACUGGGUGUACCAGUGCAUUAAUUUGGGCAAGGAAAGUGUCAUAAUUUGAUACUGUAUCUGUUUUCCUUCAAAGUAUAGAGCUUUUGGGGAAGGAAAGUAUUGAACUGGGGGUUGGUCUGGCCUACUGGGCUGACAUUAACUACAAUUAUGGGAAAUGCAAAAGUUGUUUGGAUAUGGUAGUGUGUGGUUCUCUUUUGGAAUUUUUUUCAGGUGAUUUAAUAAUAAUUUAAAACUACUAUAGAAACUGCAGAGCAAAGGAAGUGGCUUAAUGAUCCUGAAGGGAUUUCUUCUGAUGGUAGCUUUUGUAUUAUCAAACUUUUUUCAGAUAACAUCUUCUGAGUCAUAACCAGCCUGGCAGUAUGAUGGCCUAGAUGCAGAGAAAACAGCUCCUUGGUGAAUUGAUAAGUAAAGGCAGAAAAGAUUAUAUGUCAUACCUCCAUUGGGGAAUAAGCAUAACCCUGAGAUUCUUACUACUGAUGAGAACAUUAUCUGCAUAUGCCAAAAAAUUUUAAGCAAAUGAAAGCUACCAAUUUAAAGUUACGGAAUCUACCAUUUUAAAGUUAAUUGCUUGUCAAGCUAUAACCACAAAAAUAAUGAAUUGAUGAGAAAUACAAUGAAGAGGCAAUGUCCAUCUCAAAAUACUGCUUUUACAAAAGCAGAAUAAAAGCGAAAAGAAAUGAAAAUGUUACACUACAUUAAUCCUGGAAUAAAAGAAGCCGAAAUAAAUGAGAGAUGAGUUGGGAUCAAGUGGAUUGAGGAGGCUGUGCUGUGUGCCAAUGUUUCGUUUGCCUCAGACAGGUAUCUCUUCGUUAUCAGAAGAGUUGCUUCAUUUCAUCUGGGAGCAGAAAACAGCAGGCAGCUGUUAACAGAUAAGUUUAACUUGCAUCUGCAGUAUUGCAUGUUAGGGAUAAGUGCUUAUUUUUAAGAGCUGUGGAGUUCUUAAAUAUCAACCAUGGCACUUUCUCCUGACCCCUUCCCUAGGGGAUUUCAGGAUUGAGAAAUUUUUCCAUCGAGCCUUUUUAAAAUUGUAGGACUUGUUCCUGUGGGCUUCAGUGAUGGGAUAGUACACUUCACUCAGAGGCAUUUGCAUCUUUAAAUAAUUUCUUAAAAGCCUCUAAAGUGAUCAGUGCCUUGAUGCCAACUAAGGAAAUUUGUUUAGCAUUGAAUCUCUGAAGGCUCUAUGAAAGGAAUAGCAUGAUGUGCUGUUAGAAUCAGAUGUUACUGCUAAAAUUUACAUGUUGUGAUGUAAAUUGUGUAGAAAACCAUUAAAUCAUUCAAAAUAAUAAACUAUUUUUAUUAGAGAAUGUAUACUUUUAGAAAGCUGUCUCCUUAUUUAAAUAAAAUAGUGUUUGUCUGUAGUUCAGUGUUGGGGCAAUCUUGGGGGGGAUUCUUCUCUAAUCUUUCAGAAACUUUGUCUGCGAACACUCUUUAAUGGACCAGAUCAGGAUUUGAGCGGAAGAACGAAUGUAACUUUAAGGCAGGAAAGACAAAUUUUAUUCUUCAUAAAGUGAUGAGCAUAUAAUAAUUCCAGGCACAUGGCAAUAGAGGCCCUCUAAAUAAGGAAUAAAUAACCUCUUAGACAGGUGGGAGAUUAUGAUCAGAGUAAAAGGUAAUUACACAUUUUAUUUCCAGAAAGUCAGGGGUCUAUAAAUUGACAGUGAUUAGAGUAAUACUUUUUCACAUUUCCAAAGUUUGCAUGUUAACUUUAAAUGCUUACAAUCUUAGAGUGGUAGGCAAUGUUUUACACUAUUGACCUUAUAUAGGGAAGGGAGGGGGUGCCUGUGGGGUUUUAAAGAAUUUUCCUUUGCAGAGGCAUUUCAUCCUUCAUGAAGCCAUUCAGGAUUUUGAAUUGCAUAUGAGUGCUUGGCUCUUCCUUCUGUUCUAGUGAGUGUAUGAGACCUUGCAGUGAGUUUAUCAGCAUACUCAAAAUUUUUUUCCUGGAAUUUGGAGGGAUGGGAGGAGGGGGUGGGGCUUACUUGUUGUAGCUUUUUUUUUUUUUACAGACUUCACAGAGAAUGCAGUUGUCUUGACUUCAGGUCUGUCUGUUCUGUUGGCAAGUAAAUGCAGUACUGUUCUGAUCCCGCUGCUAUUAGAAUGCAUUGUGAAACGACUGGAGUAUGAUUAAAAGUUGUGUUCCCCAAUGCUUGGAGUAGUGAUUGUUGAAGGAAAAAAUCCAGCUGAGUGAUAAAGGCUGAGUGUUGAGGAAAUUUCUGCAGUUUUAAGCAGUCGUAUUUGUGAUUGAAGCUGAGUACAUUUUGCUGGUGUAUUUUUAGGUAAAAUGCUUUUUGUUCAUUUCUGGUGGUGGGAGGGGACUGAAGCCUUUAGUCUUUUCCAGAUGCAACCUUAAAAUCAGUGACAAGAAACAUUCCAAACAAGCAACAGUCUUCAAGAAAUUAAACUGGCAAGUGGAAAUGUUUAAACAGUUCAGUGAUCUUUAGUGCAUUGUUUAUGUGUGGGUUUCUCUCUCCCCUCCCUUGGUCUUAAUUCUUACAUGCAGGAACACUCAGCAGACACACGUAUGCGAAGGGCCAGAGAAGCCAGACCCAGUAAGAAAAAAUAGCCUAUUUACUUUAAAUAAACCAAACAUUCCAUUUUAAAUGUGGGGAUUGGGAACCACUAGUUCUUUCAGAUGGUAUUCUUCAGACUAUAGAAGGAGCUUCCAGUUGAAUUCACCAGUGGACAAAAUGAGGAAAACAGGUGAACAAGCUUUUUCUGUAUUUACAUACAAAGUCAGAUCAGUUAUGGGACAAUAGUAUUGAAUAGAUUUCAGCUUUAUGCUGGAGUAACUGGCAUGUGAGCAAACUGUGUUGGCGUGGGGGUGGAGGGGUGAGGUGGGCGCUAAGCCUUUUUUUAAGAUUUUUCAGGUACCCCUCACUAAAGGCACCGAAGGCUUAAAGUAGGACAACCAUGGAGCCUUCCUGUGGCAGGAGAGACAACAAAGCGCUAUUAUCCUAAGGUCAAGAGAAGUGUCAGCCUCACCUGAUUUUUAUUAGUAAUGAGGACUUGCCUCAACUCCCUCUUUCUGGAGUGAAGCAUCCGAAGGAAUGCUUGAAGUACCCCUGGGCUUCUCUUAACAUUUAAGCAAGCUGUUUUUAUAGCAGCUCUUAAUAAUAAAGCCCAAAUCUCAAGCGGUGCUUGAAGGGGAGGGAAAGGGGGAAAGCGGGCAACCACUUUUCCCUAGCUUUUCCAGAAGCCUGUUAAAAGCAAGGUCUCCCCACAAGCAACUUCUCUGCCACAUCGCCACCCCGUGCCUUUUGAUCUAGCACAGACCCUUCACCCCUCACCUCGAUGCAGCCAGUAGCUUGGAUCCUUGUGGGCAUGAUCCAUAAUCGGUUUCAAGGUAACGAUGGUGUCGAGGUCUUUGGUGGGUUGAACUAUGUUAGAAAAGGCCAUUAAUUUGCCUGCAAAUUGUUAACAGAAGGGUAUUAAAACCACAGCUAAGUAGCUCUAUUAUAAUACUUAUCCAGUGACUAAAACCAACUUAAACCAGUAAGUGGAGAAAUAACAUGUUCAAGAACUGUAAUGCUGGGUGGGAACAUGUAACUUGUAGACUGGAGAAGAUAGGCAUUUGAGUGGCUGAGAGGGCUUUUGGGUGGGAAUGCAAAAAUUCUCUGCUAAGACUUUUUCAGGUGAACAUAACAGACUUGGCCAAGCUAGCAUCUUAGCGGAAGCUGAUCUCCAAUGCUCUUCAGUAGGGUCAUGAAGGUUUUUCUUUUCCUGAGAAAACAACACGUAUUGUUUUCUCAGGUUUUGCUUUUUGGCCUUUUUCUAGCUUAAAAAAAAAAAAAGCAAAAGAUGCUGGUGGUUGGCACUCCUGGUUUCCAGGACGGGGUUCAAAUCCCUGCGGCGUCUUUGCUUUGACUACUAAUCUGUCUUCAGGACUCUUUCUGUAUUUCUCCUUUUCUCUGCAGGUGCUAGUUCUUGGAGUUUUGGGGAGGUGGGAGGUAACAGCACAAUAUCUUUGAACUAUAUACAUCCUUGAUGUAUAAUUUGUCAGGAGCUUGACUUGAUUGUAUAUUCAUAUUUACACGAGAACCUAAUAUAACUGCCUUGUCUUUUUCAGGUAAUAGCCUGCAGCUGGUGUUUUGAGAAGCCCUACUGCUGAAAACUUAACAAUUUUGUGUAAUAAAAAUGGAGAAGCUCU